UUUAAAUAAAUGUAUAGCUUGAAUUUUGUUCCAUUUUUAUUCUUGAUUCCCAAAGAGAGAAAAGCUGCUUAUUUUUCUCAUGAUUAGCCAUAUUAUUAUACAUUCUAAAUUUCCAAUGUAGGACCUAAAGUAGUUUAUGAAUGGAUGAAGAUUUACAGUGUUAUACUACUUCAUUGACUGAAACUUUUAUGCAGCCCAACUGUAUAAUUCUAG
Molecule: unclassified non-coding RNA, 213 nt
Filed under: Hevea brasiliensis (rubber tree)
Lineage: Eukaryota; Viridiplantae; Streptophyta; Magnoliopsida; Malpighiales; Euphorbiaceae
Source: RNAcentral